GGGAGCGUGGCGAAAUGGCAAACGCGUUUGACUUAAGAUCAAAUAUCGAAAGGUUUGUGGGUUCAAGUCCCACCGCUCCUA
RNAcentral lists this transfer RNA (81 nucleotides) under Caudoviricetes sp. Its description in RNAcentral is "tRNA-Leu". It matches the Rfam family "tRNA". Rfam says of the family: Transfer RNA (tRNA) molecules are approximately 80 nucleotides in length. Their secondary structure includes four short double-helical elements and three loops (D, anti-codon, and T loops). Further hydrogen bonds mediate the characteristic L-shaped molecular structure. tRNAs have two regions of fundamental functional importance: the anti-codon, which is responsible for specific mRNA codon recognition, and the 3' end, to which the tRNAs corresponding amino acid is attached (by aminoacyl-tRNA synthetases). tRNAs cope with the degeneracy of the genetic code in two manners: having more than one tRNA (with a specific anti-codon) for a particular amino acid; and 'wobble' base-pairing, i.e. permitting non-standard base-pairing at the 3rd anti-codon position. Lineage: Duplodnaviria; Heunggongvirae; Uroviricota; Caudoviricetes. The record is from RNAcentral.